Molecule: long non-coding RNA, 1914 nt
Filed under: Pelobates cultripes (western spadefoot toad)
Lineage: Eukaryota; Metazoa; Chordata; Amphibia; Anura; Pelobatidae
Source: RNAcentral
CUGUAUUUUCCAAAGUACUGAACGGAUCUGGGUGAAUUUUGGAUAUGUGGUUCACCCAGAUCCCCCAGUUCCAAGGAUAUACUUUUUAUGGGGUUAUUGCAUGUUUUGGGGUCCCUGAGAUGUGUUUUAUGAAACUGUAUUUCUCUGGCUGUGAUAAUUAGAUUACCCAUUGUGUUCAGUAAUCCUAUCACAGCCAGAGGGGAGGAUUUUGUGUGGGAGUGUCUGGGUGUAUUGUAUGGAUUGAUUGGCUGUUUUGUAACGCCCUGUGGGCUGUACUAUGUUUGUGGAUUGGGAAUAAAAGAGACUGUAUGUGACAGUACAGGGAAUUCCUGUUUUAACCCUCAAAGUGAAGUGUCGUCUCAUUAUUGGGGGAAGGAUUUAUUGUAUGCUGUUCCAGUUUGACUGCUAGGAGAGUAAACCUAUUCGUAUGGUUCCUAUUCAACUGUCUACAGCAUUCACAUGCUUGAGAGGAUUCAUAUGCUUCUCCAGUUCGGUGGUUGUGGUGUCUGCUGCAGUGCUUGGAGACCUCAGGAAGCGCUAGGAGCAUCCUUUAACGGAGGUACCCAGUCGGGGUGCCAGGUGAUCCGUUACAUUGGUGGCAAGCGGUGGGAUGGCGUCCUAGUGCGAGGUAAAGCAGCUCAGAGACACAGUUUGUGGAUUUACAAAUUGAAGGCGACGCUAGUGUUCAUACAGCGUCCCUGUCUACAUAAAGAUUUGUGAAAACCAGCACUACUUCAGAGAUGGAAGGCCGUGCAGUAUCUCACUUUGACGCCAGGCUCCAGCAGCGACUACAGGAUGUGAUGCGCAGUAUGGAGUAUCCUAUCCCAGAGGAAAGAGAGACAGAGUGGAGGGUGGUGCUUCGUACCGAUCUCUGGAAGGAGGACAUCGACGAAAUUCGACCCUUCCGGUGCGAGGAAAUCCUGACCACUAACCAGCGCCAAGCAGAACAACUAGAGCUGCGGAUGCCAUUAUUGGGAAACCAGCCCUCAGAGGAAUGGGUAAGCGAACUGGAGAUGCUAGUUGAGACUGAGGUGUGGCUGGAUGAUUCCUAUCGGGCCCUGCGGUGGCAUGUUUACCACCUCAACCCGUGGCUGAUUGAGUACAAGUGUAUUGAGGGGGAAGACUACGAUGGCCCUGGUUUGUUGUGGGAUACUAUUGAAACUAGUCUCUGGUUCGGAGACACCGACAUUGCUCGCUUCUGGUCCAUCCGAGCUGAGCGGGCAGACAACAGGGACCUUAAAGAGAUCGAUGCCAUUCAGCCAGAUCUAUCUUUUCUUGCCAACCGAGAGUGGGAACUAGAACAGGAUUAUGUUUGCCUAUUCCAACGUAUAACGCCGCCUGUCUCUGACAUGAUGGGGCUUAUUGACUGUAUACCACCGGAAGCAUUGAGUUUAGUUCCUCCUCCCCAGCAACCAAGCCUGUUAUCAGGAGACCUUGGUACUGUACCACAUAUGUCCCAACCAGCCCCAGAGAUGGAAGACCUUAUUGACUUGUCCUGGGAAGACACCCAGCUGGCAGGUGGGGAUGGGACCGAGGUCUCUCUACAGGCCCUACAGGGAUGCUGGGUAGUCAGCCCAGAUCCCCAGCGGCAGUAUGUAUCCCAGGGAGCUGAAGGUGCUGUACUUCCUCCCCCAGCGGCAGUGUGUCCUGCAGGAAGCGGAGACAGUCGGUCUCGCUCCCCAGCAGCAGAGCAAUAUAUUAAAAGGGGAGACAGUUGGUCCCCCUCUCCAACAGCAGAGAGUGUUCCAGGGAGAGGAACCGGUUAUCACCUCUCCCCAGCAACAGGACAAAUUAUUGAAAGGGGAGACAGUCGGUCUCCCCCUCCAACAGCAAAGAGUGUGUCAGGGAGAGGAGCUUGUUAUCCCCUCUCCCCAGCGGCAGUGUGAGUCCCAGGGAGCCAAAGGUGUCGUCCUU